GCUCUGAGGGCCACACUGAGGGCUCAGAGGAUGUGGAGGCGCCGCCAGGCCUGGUGCCGUCAUGCUGCACAUGCAGCCUGCGUGGCCCCACUGGACAUCCGGCCCCAGCGAGCCUGGCUCUGCAGGUGUUUGGGGGCCUGGCAGCAGUUUGUGCGAAGAGGGGCCCUGCACCGGGACCACCUGGCUGACCACCGGGCAGGGACCCUGAAGAUAUGCCUGCAACAGUGGGUGCGGAUGAAGCAGCUCCGGGCCUCCAAUAGGGCAAAGGAGACCUAGCUGUCCCUCCCCUGGCAGAGGGGAGGGAAUGUGGCCACCUGCAGCUCAGCUCCUGGGGCAGCCACAGCCCAGGACCAGCGGCUGCCCUGGGAGCAAGGCCUCCGGGCACUGCUGCUCUGGAGGACGCGGAUGUCCCAGCACCCGCAGGCUG
Long non-coding RNA from Manis pentadactyla (Chinese pangolin), 427 nucleotides. RefSeq lists it as uncharacterized. The record is from RefSeq and is a predicted model, not a curated record. Lineage: Eukaryota; Metazoa; Chordata; Mammalia; Pholidota; Manidae. The transcript is spliced from 3 exons.